UUUAAAAGUUGUUUUAAAAAAAAAAGACAACAUUUUUGGAGAAAUUUAAGGGAUAUAUAUUUUAAAUAAAUUUUAAUCAAGCGUAGUUGGUGUAAUAAUGAGUGGACGUGGUAGUCGUAAGCGGGGUAGACCGCCGAAGACGCCAAAUGAGCGCGCUGGAACCAAAUUCAAUUAUCAGCUGUUAAAGAAACCAAAAUAUUUAAGUAAGGCCAGCGAUUCCCAAUUAAGCACUCCAUCGGCAUCACGCGCUUCCUCGCCCCAGGAAAGCGAUGGUAGCCGCAGCUAUAACCGGAAAUCCACAGGCAAAAGUACCAGAGGCAGAUCACGUAAAUCAACAAGCAGCACGGCUAAUGUAAGCCGGAGAGGAGGAUAUGAAUCAGAGUAUCAUUAUGGUUCGGAUUUUGGUGAUUCGAGUGAGAAGAGUGAUAUUGAUGAUGAGUUACUCUUAUCUGCGACUGACGAAGAAGAGAGUCUCGAUAAUGUUAAUGAAAGUGAAUCUGAAUUUUCUGUCUGCAGUUUUACACAAAAUGGAGUUGGUCGCCCACCUAGACCGCCAAGUCCUGAACCAAUAUGGUUACAAGAUAGAGAAUAUGAACCUCUCGAAUUGCCCGAGUCAUCUGAAGAUUUACUUAUGAAAAAUGAACAUCUACUUAAUGCUUUAGGUAUAUAUGAAGUCUUGCGACGAUUCCGUCACUUGGUACGUUUGUCACCUUUCCGUUUUGAAGAUUUUUGUGCAGCUUUGGCUUGCGAUGAGCAGAGCGCACUUAUCGCUGAAAUUCAUAUUAUGUUACUGAAAGCAAUAUUACGUGAAGAAGAUGUACAGGGCACACACUUCGGACCACUAGAUCAGAAAGAUACAGUUAAUAUAAGUUUGUAUUUAAUAGAUGGUAUUACAUGGCCUGAAGUACUACGCAGCUAUGUUGAAAGUGAUGCAAUAUUCAAUCGUGAAGUAUAUAACAUCCUAUGUUCUGGUGAUUAUCCAUUCACAGGUGUCACUGAUCGCAUUACGGUUUUACAGUUUUUAACAAAUCAAUUUUUAACAACGAAUGCAGUAAGAGACGUAAUGCUGCAAGAAGGUCCAAUACAUUAUGACGAUCAUUGUAGAAUUUGUCAUAGGUUGGGCGAUUUGUUGUGUUGCGAAACUUGCCCCGCUGUAUAUCAUUUAGAGUGCGUUGAUCCGCCGUUGCAUGAUGUGCCUACGGAGGAUUGGCAGUGUAAUUUGUGUAAGUCACAUAAAGUUAGUGGUGUUGUAGACUGUGUGCUGCCACAAGAAAAGCAAGGCGUUCUAAUAAGGCAUGAUAUAAUCGGAUUGGACAGGCAUGGGCGUAAAUUUUGGUUUAUAGCGAGAAGAAUAUUCGUUGAGGGUCAACCUGUUCUUGAUAACGGUAAAAUAUGGUAUUAUAGCACCGAAUCAAAAUUGGAACAAUUACUAAAUACUAUCGACAAAGAAGAUUUAGAAGCCGGUCUGUAUACCCAAUUGACCGAGCGUAAAGAUGAGAUUUUACGACAAAUGAAAUUAACAGAGACUAUUACAAAAGAGCACAAUAAAUACCAAAGGCUUUCUUAUAUUGAUGAAGAAAAUAAGAAAACAUGGGCAUUAAUACGUGGUAAUGAAGAAGAAGAAACACAAUUGAACGACAGUGUCGCAGAGAAUAAGAUGAUGACCCGUCUGAAAACAAGUCAAAAUGCGAAUGAAACCAACCACUUUAAAUUGGGUAUGGAACAUGGUUUUAAGAAUUACGUAAAUCAGUAUACAUCAAAUCCCAUUGCUUUGAAUAAACCACAGCGUAAUGAAGAGCGUGAUAAACGCCGGCAUUUAUCCCACAAAUUCUCCCUAACCACCGCAUCGGAGUUUAAAUGGAUUGGUGUUACCAUGGGUAGUUUAGAUAGUAUAACUCAAACGUUGCGACAAACACUAUUAAGUUUCGAAGAAAAUGUACCAUCGUCCUUCAUGAUACCAAAUUGGCGAUUCAUAAAAUGGAAAUGGCGUAGAACAGUUACCGACGCACGCCGUCCAACAGAGUUUGUCAUAGUAUUAUUAUUGCUACAGGCUUCAUUUAAGAAUGUGAUCUUUGCAAAUGUUUGGCAUGAACAGCUUGGUCAUAUAACAUUAUGUCGCAUAACUUCAUCUGAGCGUGAAGAGCGCAAAAAGAUUGAGAAGCGUGAAAAACGUGAACGUGAUGAUGAAGAAGAACGUAAUCGUCUGGCUUUCAAUUAUAUCAAAUACUCCUUAGGACUUAAACAUCAGGUUUGGAAGCAAAAGGGCGAAGAGUAUCGUAUACACGGUCAAUGGGGUUGGAUGUGGCUUUCAACCAGUCGCCGUUGCGGUAGUUGCGGCGGCAGCAAGUCACGGCGAGCACCACAUCGCCAUGGAUUGGCUAUUCCCCCGGUUAAAGUGAACGUGCAUUUUACAAAGGGCGCCGAUGUUGAUGAAAUUGUAAGUGUCGAUCCCCGUACACACAAAUUCCUUUUGCAAUGCAAUGAGGCUGUAAAAAAAGGUGCCGAUUACUACUUCCUGCAGAAGUUUAAAGAUGUGCAAGUAAAAGAACUGAAUGAUGAUAGUACAGAUGGAACCGACGGUUCCGGCAUUGUUAAUAAUAAGGGCACUAUCGAUGUUUCGAAAUCGUUAAGAAUGCCCGGUCGCUUGCUUUAUCCGAAAAUAGCACGAAAAAGCCGUCUUGAUGAACUAUUAGGACGGCGUUUGGAAUUAAAGCAAGCUGAAGAAGAGUUGGCGGUCAAAUCCGAAAAGGAUGAUGAUGAUGCAGAGCCAGGUACACAAUCGGAAGAGGCAAAAUCCGAUACUAAUAAAAAGGUAGCCAAGCGCACAUUCCUUGAACGUCGUUUAAUGGAUAUACAAUAUGUACAACAAAAAAAUACGCCCAGUAAAGAUGUCAACCUUGAUUUGGUGAACUCUUUAGCGAAGAAAAUACAAACCGUCCGUUUGCAAUUUAGUCAAUUGAAUCGGUUCGCUAAACAAUAUCGCUGCUACACGAAAGAGUGCAACACAAAUUCCAAUGCUGUUUCGCAAAUCACACAAAACACCUGCUAUUCACCACUUUGCCUACAAAAAGCCCGAGCUAAAAAGGAACUAUUACUGUUGUUACGCAAAGCACAUAUUGCCGGCAAUGGUUCAAAAGAAACAGUAGCUGCUAUUUUGGGCGCUGUUAAAAAACCUUCAAUUUUGGAACAAAAAUUAACAGAGGGUAAAAAAGAUGCCUCACUCGUACUAGAUGAAGCUGAAGAUUGUCGUUGGUUAAUCGAUGAGAGUCCAUUGGAUUUGGUGCAAGAUUGGGAACAUGCACGUACUGUAGCUGUGCCAUAUGAUGAGAUGCUUUUACGUGACUGUUACAUAUCGAAAGAAGAAGAAAAUGCAGUUAGCAAUACUGUGAAAGAAGAGAGUAUGCCAGCUGGUGGUUCUAGUGAUGGUGGCAUGGAAUUUAUGGAUAAUAUCGAUGUGUGCAGUAAUGUUGAGAUCGAGAGUUCAGAGACCACUAAUGAUGAUUCUCUCGCUGCGCUCACCUCCAGUAAUGAUACUUUGGGCAUGGACGCUACACAAGCUAAAAAAUGUAAGAAGUCACAAAAAUCGCGUACUAACAAAUCGUACAUCGCCACUAAGGAUGUGCUCAAUCAGACUCUUGAAUCGACAGCAACAAAUAUCAAACAAAAUCGCCGUUUUCCUACACAACCGCGCAUUACCAAACGCGAAGAUGUUACAAAAUAUGAAAAGGAAUUUUAUACAAAUGGUAAGGAACGCGUGUAUGCAGCACAAUCAACACGUGGACGCAUUUACUUGUGGCGUGACAAAUCUGUGCUAAAAGAACGCACACAAAUCAAAACGGAAGAUGAAAGUAAAUUACAAACAUUCACGCCAGAACAAGCUAAGAACAUACCAAUCGGCUCGACAUAUCCGCUAACUUCUCAAUUCCUUACACACAAGCUAAAGGCGAGUAUACUCGCGUUGGCACCCUUUGAGUUAAAGAAAUUAGCACGUUUGGGUGGCAAAACAUCCACUAACGGUUUCCAUCAUUUGGCGAAAAAUAAUUCCGUCUGGCCAUAUCCAUGUUCACGACCACUUUUUAAGACAUGUUGGUCUUUCCGUACUACCAAAGCGACUACACUUGCUGCUGUAGCGCUACAACUGCGUAUACUGUGGUGUUGCCUUCGUUGGGAUGAUAUGAUUGCCAAAGCACCAUCGGCAGAUGGCAAACAUCAAGUGACUAGUGAAACUGAGAUCGUCACACAAGAGCUGUUGAAGUUCCGUCACAUGGGACGAUAUGGUGAACGUACGCAAUAUUUACGACGCAAAGUAGUAGUGCCACUGGAAAUGCCCAAGACUAUACGAGAGGUAACUUCAAUUCGUUCUGGUUUACGUAAACGCAAACGUGCUGAAUCACCUCAGCCAACCGAACCACAAAUAAGUGAAGAGUGGGUAGAGGAAGAAAAACUUGAAUUGUGGGAGAUUAAAUUAAUGGGCGAACGUCAUGAGAAGAUGAAGCAAGCAACUCAGACACGUUCUGUAGUCCUGCGACAAGCUGCUGAACAAGCUGGCUCAUCGCCGUCUUCCUCGUCAGCAUCCAGUUCCGGUGGUUCGAAUGGCUGCACACCUAAAGUUGUGAUAACAGCAAAGAGUAGUGAAGAGAUCAAAGAAAAAAUGGAACAACAAUUGAAACUACAACGUGCUGCACAUCAGCAGAAAAGGAAUCCGGAUAAUAUUAAAUUACAUCCGCAAGGUAAGGGUCAAAUAAUCGGCAGUCGUCGUGUAAUAGUUAAAAAUCCCGAUGGCACAACGCGCAUCAUACAACAGGCAAUUACUUCACCUGCACAAAAAGUUAUCAACAACAGUGCCAAUGCCGCGGCCCAAGCUUCAACCGCGUCGAAUUCCGGUGGUUCCUCAUCAGCCAGUGGACAGUCGACACAAGCGAGCACUAGCACAGCGCCUCAACAACAUAAGGUGCAAAUUAUACGCGGGCCUGAUGGUAAAGUAAGCGUUCGAGGCCUAAAUCCCGGUCAACAAUUAAUACAAAUGCCCGACGGUAAAUUGCAUGUGUUGACGACAACAUCGGCAGCAGGCGGAGCACAAGGUACUAUAACAAAGAAGCUGCCAGUGAAACAGGUAACAGCAUCAAAUUCAACAGGUAUCGUGAAGCAAAUAUCAGUCAAGCCUAUACAGAAGCCGGUGUCGGUUCAAAGUGCACAAAAAACCGUUGUUACAGCCGUAAAUACACAACCCCAAGCAGUUGCGCCUAAAGCGGUUGCGCAGGUUAUUAACCAACAUGUCGCUCUCAAUCCAACAACAACUGUGCAGAAGGUUAUCACACAAACAAUACCAACUGUAAAUACAAAUACACCUACAGCCACAAAGGUUACUACAAACGCCCAAGGUAUGCAACAAUUUAUUGUCCAACCAGGACAAAAAUUAUUGAUGGGACAAAAUCAACAAGGACAAAAGGUGUUAAUUACCACUGGUGGACAACAAAUUACCCAACAGCCGGUGGUUUCGAAUCUACAAACAAUACAGCAGACACCUCCACAGCAGCAACAACAACAACAGCAAAUAAUAGUGAAUCAAUCACCAACCACAACAAAUCAGACCACAACGUCACCACAGGGUGCAACACAAAAGGUUAUACAACAAAUUGUGAAUACCAGCAAUGUGCAGCAACAAAUUGUGAUCGGUGGUCAACGCAUUAUAUUAAGUCCUGGACAAACUAUUGUCACACAAAGAUCCGUGCCACAAAGUCAAGUACAAGUUGUACAACAACAGCCGCAACAGCAACAGCAACAACAAAUAGUGCAAUCAACCACAACACAACCCACACACCACCAACAAGUAAUUGUGCAAGCGACAAAUCAACAAGCUGGACUUUCCCAAAUACAACAACAACAACCACAACAGCGCGUUGUUAAGCAAAUUGUGGUGCAGCAACAGCAACCGCAGCAGCAGCAACAGCAACAACAGCAAACAAUACAAGCCAGUAGUAAUCAUUUAGUGGAGCAAAGUACACCGCAACAACAAGUGUUAAAGAUACAGCAGCCGCAGCAACAACAACAGCAGCAGCAGCAGACUGCUGCAACACCCCAACAAACAACAAAUCAACAACUUGUCGUUCAGAACUCAACGCUGGCACAACAGUUGGCCCAAGGUAAACUGCAAGUAGCCACCAUAAACGGUCAACAAGUAAUCAUUCGACCAUUGGGCAAUAAUCAAGCACAAAUUGUGGCGCACAUUAAAACGCAAAGUGAUGGUAAUGCGCACAUUAUAACCAAUAGUACUUUGGAAACGCCGCAAGGUUCACCAGAAAAAUCAGCGCCCGCAGUUGUGCAACAAAUACAACAAAAACCACAAGUUCAACAACAGCAAGUAAUACAACGUGCAACUGUUACACAACAACAACAACAGCAGCAACAUGUAACCCAACAACAGCAAACUACUUAUAUGCAACAAGAAACUGUGCAGCAACAACAUCAGCAGACGACUGUGGCAACACCUACCAAACAGAUGUCCAUUGAGGAGAGCUUACUGCAGGGCCAGCCGCCAGGGACUGUUAUCAAAUGUGUCACCGCACAGGUCAUACAAACGGAACAAGGUCCACGUAUAGUGUUGCAAGGCUUAGUUGGCAAUGAUUUCACGCAACAACAGUUGGCGCUUGUGCAACAGCAAGUGAAGCAACAGCUUUUAAAAGCUCAAGAAUCCAGCGGCAAACAAGGUGUGCUAGGACCAACUAAAAUCUACUUGGCUGUUCAACCGCCAAACGCGGGUUUGAAUUCUCAACCACCCCCACUAACACCCGUACAUCAAUCUACACAUCAACAAGUUUCCUGGAAUAAGUACUACAACUGAUCUUUUACGUAUACAAGGCGUCCUUCCUAGCUAAGACAACGGUGACUGAACAAAGUAGUAGCAGUAAUGUUGAAAAUGUCGCCGGCAAUAAAACAAUUGAUGCAACAACAAAAAACCAAGAUAAAUCAGAUUUAUUACAAGACAAUCAAAUUCAACAAUUACCCCAAGGGAAUAACACAGUAAUAAGUAGUAGUCCUAGUGCGGGUGUUGGAACUCAGGAUUUGAUUGUUACUUCACCAGGAUUUAUACAAAUCUCUAACAACACAAAGGUAAUCACUAAAGGCAGCUCCAAUAUAAAUUUAGUACACAGCAAUGAGCAGCAACAACAACAGCAGCAGCAACAAGAUAAAAAAUCAACACAAC
This 7204-nucleotide unclassified non-coding RNA is filed under the name Ceratitis capitata (Mediterranean fruit fly). Its description in RNAcentral is "nucleosome-remodeling factor subunit NURF301, transcript variant X2". Lineage: Eukaryota; Metazoa; Arthropoda; Insecta; Diptera; Tephritidae. The record is from RNAcentral.